GCAAACGCAAGCUACUGCCUGAUCCACCAGAUUGUGUCUGUGUGUGUUCACUGAAAAACCCUUGUGGUGAGAAUCUUUAUCCUUCUGCCAGUUUCUGUAACCUCUUUAUUUCCAAGAGCAGACGUGACGUCAAAGGAAUCUGCUUAUCAAAGUCGUCCGGCUGCCAGACUGUGCUCAAACAAGAACACGUUACAACAGCAAACAGGAAUCGGGAAAAUAUAUAAGAUCUAUUUUUAAAUAUAUUUCCUCUUUUUCAUGUUUUUCUAGAUAUCGACAGUGUUGUAAGUAGAAUACACGUGACAGACUGGAAAUGACAGACACAAGCUGUCAGCACGAGAUCCAAUCUGUGUCUCGCUUAUCUCAAGCUGACUACCGGUGUUUAAUUUAGAAUGUGUAUGGCCAGAUCUAUAAACAGGUG
Molecule: non-coding RNA, 418 nt
Organism: Pelobates cultripes (western spadefoot toad)
Lineage: Eukaryota; Metazoa; Chordata; Amphibia; Anura; Pelobatidae
Source: the annotation of a GenBank genome assembly